RNAcentral lists this ribosomal RNA (663 nucleotides) under Pandoraea sp. HPC1267. Its description in RNAcentral is "bacterial SSU rRNA". It matches the Rfam family "Bacterial small subunit ribosomal RNA", at positions 54 to 712 of the family's 1533-position model. Lineage: Bacteria; Pseudomonadati; Pseudomonadota; Betaproteobacteria; Burkholderiales; Burkholderiaceae. The record is from RNAcentral.
CGGGGUGCAGUCCAACGGAGGGGCGGGUGCUUGCACCUGGUGGCCAGUGGCGAACGGGUGAGUAAUACAUCGGAACGUACCUUGUAGUGGGGGAUAGCUCGGCGAAAGCCGGAUUAAUACCGCAUACGCUCUGAGGAGGAAAGCGGGGGACCUUCGGGCCUCGCGCUACAAGAGCGGCCGAUGUCAGAUUAGCUAGUUGGUGGGGUAAAAGCUCACCAAGGCGACGAUCUGUAGCUGGUCUGAGAGGACGACCAGCCACACUGGGACUGAGACACGGCCCAGACUCCUACGGGAGGCAGCAGUGGGGAAUUUUGGACAAUGGGCGAAAGCCUGAUCCAGCAAUGCCGCGUGUGUGAAGAAGGCCUUCGGGUUGUAAAGCACUUUUGUCCGGAAAGAAAUCCUCUGGGUUAAUACCUCGGGGGGAUGACGGUACCGGAAGAAUAAGCACCGGCUAACUACGUGCCAGCAGCCGCGGUAAUACGUAGGGUGCAAGCGUUAAUCGGAAUUACUGGGCGUAAAGCGUGCGCAGGCGGUUUUGUAAGACGGAUGUGAAAUCCCGGGCUUAACCUGGGAACUGCAUUCGUGACUGCAGGCUAGAGUAUGGCAGAGGGGGGUAGAAUUCACGUGUAGCAGUGAAUGCGUAGAGAUGUGGAGGAAUACCGA